Molecule: transfer RNA, 87 nt
Filed under: Idiomarina xiamenensis 10-D-4
Lineage: Bacteria; Pseudomonadati; Pseudomonadota; Gammaproteobacteria; Alteromonadales; Idiomarinaceae
Also listed under: 3 other names
Description: tRNA-Leu
Rfam family: tRNA
About the family: Transfer RNA (tRNA) molecules are approximately 80 nucleotides in length. Their secondary structure includes four short double-helical elements and three loops (D, anti-codon, and T loops).
Source: RNAcentral
GCCGAGGUGGCGGAAUUGGUAGACGCAGCGGAUUCAAAAUCCGCCGCUGGUAACAGCGUGGGGGUUCAAGUCCCCCCCUCGGCACCA